UUGAAAAGCAUGGUGUGUGAUCUCAAGGAGGGCUUAGAAAACAGCCUUCUACAAACCAGCAAAAUUCAAAGCAUUCAUGUGAGGAUGAGGUGGACAUUGCUGAUGGUGUUAAAAUAAACAAAGUUACACUUAUGAGUUGCAAUCAUUAAUAUCCAACAAAGCUUGUCUGUGAUCUGCUUGGGGUUAUCUUUACUCAAAAGGAAUUGUCAACACACUCCCUUACAUGACAAAAAGGGAAUAGAUCAGAUGCUGUUAAGCAACCUCUCGACAAGACACUGCUGGAUGCCAUUUUUGAAUACACUUUGAAAAAAAAUCCCACUGCCAGCAUGAAGGAGUUGAAACAGGCAGCUCGAAACAAACUAAACAAUGAAAAAAGCAAG
Molecule: long non-coding RNA, 380 nt
Organism: Danio aesculapii
Lineage: Eukaryota; Metazoa; Chordata; Actinopteri; Cypriniformes; Danionidae
Exons: 3
Source: RefSeq, a predicted model, not a curated record